GCAAGUCGAGCGAGAAAGCCUUCGGGUGAGUACAGCGGCGGACGGGUGAGUAACGCGUAGGAAUCUACCUGGUAGUGGGGGACAACAUGGUGAAAACCAUGCUAAUACCGCAUACGCCCUAUGGGGGAAAGCGGGGGAUCUUCGGACCUCGCGCUAUUGGAUGAGCCUGCGUAGGAUUAGCUUGUUGGUGAGGUAAAAGCUCACCAAGGCGACGAUCCUUAGCUGGUCUGAGAGGAUGAUC
RNAcentral lists this ribosomal RNA (241 nucleotides) under uncultured bacterium. RNAcentral describes it as "partial 16S ribosomal RNA". It matches the Rfam family "Bacterial small subunit ribosomal RNA", at positions 57 to 305 of the family's 1533-position model. The record is from RNAcentral.